UAAUACCGCAUAAGCCCACAGCUCGGCAUCGAGCAGAGGGAAAAGGAGUGAUCCGCUUUGAGAUGGCCUCGCGUCCGAUUAGCUAGUUGGUGAGGUAAUGGCCCACCAAGGCAACGAUCGGUAGCCGGACUGAGAGGUUGAACGGCCACAUUGGGACUGAGACACGGCCCAGACUCCUACGGGAGGCAGCAGUGGGGAAUAUUGCACAAUGGGGGAAACCCUGAUGCAGCGACGCCGCGUGGAGGAAGAAGGUCUUCGGAUUGUAAACUCCUGUUGUUGAGGAAGAUAAUGACGGUACUCAACAAGGAAGUGACGGCUAACUACGUGCCAGCAACCGCGGUAAAACGUAGGUCACAAGCGUUGUCCGGAAUUACUGGGUGUAAAGGGAGCGCAGGCGGGAGAACAAGCUGGAAGUGAAAUCCAUGGGCUCAACCCAUGAACUGCUUUCAAAACUGUUUUUCUUGAGUAGUGCAGAGGUAGGCGGAAUUCCCGGUGUAGCGGUGGAAUGCGUAGAUAUCGGGAGGAACACCAGUGGCGAARGCGGCCUACUGGGCACCAACUGACGCUGAGGCUCGAAAGUGUGGGUAGCAAACAGGAUUAGAUACCCUGGUAGUCCACACCGUA
Molecule: ribosomal RNA, 624 nt
Filed under: uncultured bacterium
Lineage: Bacteria
Description: bacterial SSU rRNA
Rfam family: Bacterial small subunit ribosomal RNA
Source: RNAcentral